UAGUCGAUGGGAAACAGGUUAAUAUUCCUGUACUUGGUGUUACUGCGAAGGGGGGACGGAGAAGGCUAUGUUAGCCGGGCGACGGUUGUCCCGGUUUAAGCAUGUAGGCUGGUUAUCCAGGCAAAUCCGGAUAAUCAAGGCUGAGGUGUGAUGACGAGGCACUACGGUGCUGAAGUAACAAAUGCCCUGCUUCCAGGAAAAGCCUCUAAGCAUCAGGUAACAUCAA
Molecule: ribosomal RNA, 226 nt
Filed under: Klebsiella pneumoniae
Lineage: Bacteria; Pseudomonadati; Pseudomonadota; Gammaproteobacteria; Enterobacterales; Enterobacteriaceae
Description: partial 23S ribosomal RNA
Rfam family: Bacterial large subunit ribosomal RNA
Source: RNAcentral